AAACGACUCUCGGCAACGGAUAUCUCGGCUCUCGCAUCGAUGAAGAACGUAGCGAAAUGCGAUACUUGGUGUGAAUUGCAGAAUCCCGUGAACCAUCGAGUCUUUGAACGCAAGUUGCGCCCGAAGCCAUCCGGUCGAGGGCACGUCUGCCUG
This 153-nucleotide ribosomal RNA is filed under the name Diospyros sp. Yemaoshi. RNAcentral's name for it is "5.8S ribosomal RNA". It matches the Rfam family "5.8S ribosomal RNA". Rfam says of the family: 5.8S ribosomal RNA (5.8S rRNA) is a component of the large subunit of the eukaryotic ribosome. It is transcribed by RNA polymerase I as part of the 45S precursor that also contains 18S and 28S rRNA. Functionally, it is thought that 5.8S rRNA may be involved in ribosome translocation. Lineage: Eukaryota; Viridiplantae; Streptophyta; Magnoliopsida; Ericales; Ebenaceae. The record is from RNAcentral.